This 619-nucleotide ribosomal RNA is filed under the name Porpidia flavocaerulescens. RNAcentral's name for it is "LSU rRNA". It matches the Rfam family "Eukaryotic large subunit ribosomal RNA", at positions 33 to 667 of the family's 3401-position model. The record is from RNAcentral. Lineage: Eukaryota; Fungi; Ascomycota; Lecanoromycetes; Lecideales; Lecideaceae.
ACUAAGCAUAUCAAUAAGCGGAGGAAAAGAAACCAACAGGGAUUGCCUCAGUAACGGCGAGUGAAGCGGCAACAGCUCAAAUUUGAAAUCUGACCCCUUCGGGGCCCGAGUUGUAAUUUGUAGAGGAUGCUUCGGGUGCGGCGCCGGUCUAAGUUCCUUGGAACAGGACGUCAUAGAGGGUGAGAAUCCCGUAUGCGACCGGCGGCCAACCCCGUGUGAAGCCCCUUCGACGAGUCGAGUUGUUUGGGAAUGCAGCUCAAAAUGGGUGGUAAAUUUCAUCUAAAGCUAAAUACCGGCCAGAGACCGAUAGCGCACAAGUAGAGUGAUCGAAAGAUGAAAAGCACUUUGGAAAGAGAGUCAAACAGUACGUGAAAUUGUUGAAAGGGAAGCGCUUGCAACCAGACCUGCCCGCGGGCGAUCAGCCGUUAUUCUUAGCGGUGCACUCGUCCGCGAUCAGGCCAGCAUCGGUUCGAGCGGCCGGAUAAAGGCCUCGGGAAUGUAGCUCCCCCCGGGGAGUCUUAUAGCCCGGGGUGCAAUGCGGCCAGCCCGGACCGAGGACCGCGCUUCGGCUAGGAUGCUGGCGUAAUGGUUGUAAGCGACCCGUCUUGAAACACGGACC